This 1218-nucleotide long non-coding RNA is filed under the name Macaca nemestrina (pig-tailed macaque). RNAcentral describes it as "lncRNA (ENSMNEG00000045738.1)". Lineage: Eukaryota; Metazoa; Chordata; Mammalia; Primates; Cercopithecidae. The record is from RNAcentral.
GUGCCCCUGCUCACAGCUGUGAGCACAGGCUUUGCACAGGCUGUCUGGAAACCGGCACAGCUACGUUCAUCAGAAGAAACAGUUGCAGCCGGACGCGGUGGCUCAUGCCUGUAAUCCCAACCCUUUGGGAGGCUGAGAUGAAGCGAAGGAUGAAUAUUAUCCCAGGCUAAAGUAAUGAAAAGUCCAGAAGCCAGCGAUGACAGAGAUGUGUGUGGAAGAAGGCUGUGAGCAUUUCCAUCAAACCCUGUGGAUUUCCGAAGAUCUUAUCCCGAAGAUAUGUGUUUGGCCAAUAAAACAGCAGUGCAGCAAGCCCUGCCCACUUCCUGCUCACGUGCCUAGUCUGCAACGACCAUUUACUUCAGGAUAUGAAGUCAACAGCAGAGCCCAAACAAUAGUGAAGUGGCUCCCAGAGCCAAACUCGCCGGCCUGCUUACCGGCUCAGAAUUGCCCCAUCUUCAACACGAACAAGUGCUUCUGGAACAAAUACCAGCCAAUUGCACACAGUCCAGGGCUUUGACAUGAAAUAUGAAUCAACUCUACAUUUAUACACGACAGUGUCAAUUUUUUAUCUAUUGGAGUUACUAUAUUCCUUUGGUGGCAGAACGGAGGUUCCCAGGGGAGCUAUUAAGAAAAAGCUUUUCUGGCCCAGGUGCAGUGGCUCACGCCUGUAAUCCCAGCACUUUGGGAGGCCAAGGCUGGUAGAUCACCUGAGGAGUUUGAGACCAGCCUGGCCAACAUGGUGAAACCCCAUCUCUACUAAAAAUACAAAGAUUAGUCGGGCAUGAUGGUGCAUGCCUGUAAUCCCAGCUACUUGGGAGGGUAAGGCAGGAGAAUUGCUUGAAUCUGAGAGGCGGAGGUUACAGUGAGCCAAGAUUGUGCCACUGCACUCUGGACUGGGUGACAGAGCAAGACUCUGUCUCAAAAAAAGAAAAAAAAAAAAAAAAAAAAAAAAAAAAAAAAAAAAAAGCUUUUCUGGCCUGGCAUGGUGGUGCAUGCCUGUAAUCCCAGCUACUUGGGAGGCUGAGGCAGGAGAAUCAUUUGAACCCAGGAGGCGGAGGUUUCAGUGAUCAUGCCAUGGCACUCCAACCUGGUCAACAAGAGCGAAACUCUGUCUCAAACAAACAAACAAACAAAAGACAGCUGGCCAAACAGCAAUAUGUNNNNNNNNNNNNNNNNNNNNNNNNNAAUUUUUUUUUUUUUUUUUAAAUAACAAAUUGU